RNAcentral lists this ribosomal RNA (249 nucleotides) under soil bacterium 14V-13. Its description in RNAcentral is "partial 16S ribosomal RNA". It matches the Rfam family "Bacterial small subunit ribosomal RNA", at positions 218 to 479 of the family's 1533-position model. The record is from RNAcentral.
GUUGGGGAUGGGCUCGCGGCCUAUCAGCUUGUUGGUGGGGUAAUGGCCUACCAAGGCGUCGACGGGUAGCCGGCCUGAGAGGGCGACCGGCCACACUGGGACUGAGACACGGCCCAGACUCCUACGGGAGGCAGCAGUGGGGAAUAUUGCGCAAUGGACGAAAGUCUGANGCAGCAACGCCGCGUGAGGGAUGACGGCCUUCGGGUUGUAAACCUCUUUCAGCAGGGACGAAGCGAGAGUGACGGUACC